Long non-coding RNA from Myotis myotis, 663 nucleotides. RefSeq lists it as uncharacterized. Lineage: Eukaryota; Metazoa; Chordata; Mammalia; Chiroptera; Vespertilionidae. The transcript is spliced from 2 exons. The record is from RefSeq and is a predicted model, not a curated record.
GCGGCUGGAGGGCGUCCGACGGGGCGGGGCUCCGCCGCGGGGGCCUAUGGGAAAUGUAGUCCCGGCGCGCGCGCACGGCGGCCUCGGAGCGGGGACGGAGGGCUCCCGGGACGCCAUGGUCUCACUCGCCGCAUGGCUCGACCUCGACUGGUGCGCCCGCCCGUUCGGAAUCGGCUAGGUGGGCCCGGGGCGGUCUCCCCUUGCAACUGUUCAUCAAUGUGAUGAGGACACCGGUCGGGUCAAGGCAUCUGGCGGAAAGAAGUGCCUGGGAAGGGAAGGACGAUGGAGGUGAACAUGUUCCCAGCGCAUCGCCUCACUUCAGAGCUGAGUGGAGGAGGGACGACCCCUGGCAUCUCAUGCAAAGGGCGAGUCCCCGCGAGGCCCUCAGAAGGUGCUCAUGACGUCACCAUUAGCGCCAUCCGCAGACUUUGUCCUAUAAACGGGAGGCAGAUCUGAUGGCUUUGGUUCCUGCUCAUGAAAAGUAUUGUGAGGGUUCUUUUUAAAGUUUUAAGAUUUGGAACCACUCGUUUCAUGGUACGUAGGUAAAAGACAGGAAACUUUUUCUGUGUGUGAAAGAGUAAAUGUAUUGAUAUGGAUAAUAUUAGGUGGAAGUGCCCACCUAUAAGAUCCAAAUUAAAUUCAGAAUAAAAUUGAAGAAAAGUA